RNAcentral lists this ribosomal RNA (537 nucleotides) under uncultured bacterium. RNAcentral describes it as "bacterial SSU rRNA". It matches the Rfam family "Bacterial small subunit ribosomal RNA", at positions 373 to 901 of the family's 1533-position model. The record is from RNAcentral.
GGGCGAAAGCCUGAUGGAGCAACGCCGCGUGAGUGAAGAAGGAUUUCGGUUCGUAAAACUCUGUUGUAAGGGAAGAACAAGUACAGUAGUAACUGGCUGUACCUUGACGGUACCUUAUUAGAAAGCCACGGCUAACUACGUGCCAGCAGCCGCGGUAAUACGUAGGUGGCAAGCGUUGUCCGGAAUUAUUGGGCGUAAAGCGCGCGCAGGUGGUUUCUUAAGUCUGAUGUGAAAGCCCACGGCUCAACCGUGGAGGGUCAUUGGAAACUGGGAGACUUGAGUGCAGAAGAGGAUAGUGGAAUUCCAAGUGUAGCGGUGAAAUGUGUAGAGAUUUGGAGGAACACCAGUGGCGAAGGCGACUAUCUGGUCUGUAACUGACACUGAGGCGCGAAAGCGUGGGGAGCAAACAGGAUUAGAUACCCUGGUAGUCCACGCCGUAAACGAUGAGUGCUAAGUGUUAGGGGGUUUCCGCCCCUUAGUGCUGCAGCUAACGCAUUAAGCACUCCGCCUGGGGAGUACGGUCGCAAGACUGAAACU